CCUACGGGUGGCAGCAGUGAGGAAUAUUGGUCAAUGGGCGAGAGCCUGAACCAGCCAAGUAGCGUGAAGGAUGAAGGCCCUAGGGUUUGUAAACUUCUUUUAUAGGGGAAUAAAGUGAGGAACGUGUUCCUUUUUGUAUGUACUAUAUGAAUAAGCAUCGGCUAACUCCGUGCCAGCAGCCGCGGUAAGACGGAGGCUGCGAGCGUUGUCCGGAUUUAUUGGGUUUAAAGGGAGCGUAGGUGGGUAAUUAAGUCAGCGGUGAAAGUUUGUGGCUCAACCAUAAAAUUGCCGUUGAUACUGGUUGACUUGAGUAUAUUUGAGGUAGGCGGAAUGCGUGGUGUAGCGGUGAAAUGCAUAGAUAUCACGCAGAACUCCGAUUGCGAAGGCAGCUUACUAAACUAUAACUGACACUGAAGCACGAAAGCGUGGGGAUCAAACAGGAUUAGAUACCCGGGUAGUC
Molecule: ribosomal RNA, 460 nt
Filed under: uncultured bacterium
Lineage: Bacteria
Description: partial 16S ribosomal RNA
Rfam family: Bacterial small subunit ribosomal RNA
Source: RNAcentral